This 466-nucleotide ribosomal RNA is filed under the name uncultured bacterium. RNAcentral describes it as "bacterial SSU rRNA". It matches the Rfam family "Bacterial small subunit ribosomal RNA", at positions 338 to 795 of the family's 1533-position model. The record is from RNAcentral.
CCUACGGGGGGCAGCAGUGGGGAAUUUUGCGCAAUGGGGGAAACCCUGACGCAGCAACGCCGCGUGAGUGAUGAAGGCUUUAGAGUCGUAAAGCUCUGUCAAGUGGGAAGAAAUUGCAGGAUACUAAUACUGUUCUGUAUUGACGGUACCACUAAAGGAAGCACCGGCUAACUCCGUGCCAGCAGCCGCGGUAAUACGGAGGGUGCAAGCGUUAUUCGGAAUCAUUGGGCGUAAAGGGCGCGUAGGCGGCCUGAUAAGUCAGAUGUGAAAGCCCGGGGCUUAACCCCGGAAGUGCAUUUGAUACUGUUGGGCUUGAGUAUGGGAGAGGGAAGUGGAAUUUCUGGUGUAGAGGUGAAAUUCGUAGAUAUCAGAAGGAACACCGGUGGCGAAGGCGACUUCCUGGACCAAUACUGACGCUGAGGCGCGAAGGCGUGGGUAGCGAACAGGAUUAGAUACCCCGGUAGUC